This 743-nucleotide long non-coding RNA is filed under the name Equus caballus (horse). RNAcentral's name for it is "lncRNA (ENSECAG00000054090.1)". Lineage: Eukaryota; Metazoa; Chordata; Mammalia; Perissodactyla; Equidae. The record is from RNAcentral.
UGUCUCAGUGUUUGUUUCCCAGGCAACCUGAUGUAAGAAGUGAUGAAAGUCAAACAAACAACCGUAAAUCUGUACAAUGAAACGUAUGACAGGAAAGCAACAGUGCCACUGAGCGCAGUAAGAGCAUUCAACCCAGACCUGAUGGGUUGUGAAGAUGCAAAGAGAAGGGUCAGGGCAUUACCUCCUCAGUGGGAGAAUGCAAGACCCAGGUGACCCCAGAAGCAGCUGACUUGCUCACAGCCUGGUGACGCCAGUGGUGACAUCCAUGACUGCAACAGCACUUUAAGCAGAGACUAUGAAGGAGGUCGCUCCUGAAGGCCACCCACACUGGAGCGUUGAAAGAAUUUCCCUUCCGUACCAAAUAAGCCCAGCGGGAAAGAAACAGGAUCCUGUGCUCGGUGUGCAGCCCUGGCCUUUCUGACAAGUAGGAAGAAAGUGAAAUACCAGCGGAGUGUGUUUCCACCAACUGGCUACAUACAAACAUUUCUGCUCAAGAACAAAGCUACACCCCUCCCGAAGUCUGCUUGUGCCCGUUACUUUGUUCAACUGCAAUUUGUUCUUGAGAAAAUAUUAUCCCUGUAAUUCUAUCUAGUGGGUGGAUCCUUCAACUUUCUGUCUUCUAGAUGCUGGUUGUUAGCUGAACUGUCUGCCUUUCUAGAAUAUUUUUUGUAAUCAUUUCAUGGGUCAGAAAAAAGUAACUGUUUCUUAUUUGUACCGUUUUUCUGUUGUUCAUUGCCUCUCAG